RNAcentral lists this ribosomal RNA (436 nucleotides) under uncultured archaeon. RNAcentral describes it as "bacterial SSU rRNA". It matches the Rfam family "Archaeal small subunit ribosomal RNA", at positions 474 to 903 of the family's 1478-position model. The record is from RNAcentral.
CACCGGCAGCUCAAGUGGUGGUCACGUUUAUUGGGCUUAAAGCGUCCGUAGUCGGCUCAGCAAGUCCCCUGUGAAAUCCAGCGGCUCAACCGUUGGGCUUGCGGAGGAAACUACUGAACUAGAGGCCGGGAGAGGAGUGAGGUAUUCCAGGGGUACCGGUGAAAUGGUAUAAUCCUUGGAAGACCACUAGUGGCGAAGGCGUCACUCUUGAACGGCCGUGACGGAUAGGAGGGACGAAAGUCGUAGGGGAGCGAACCGGAUUAGAUACCCGGGUAUCCUAGCCGUAAAGAUGUGGACUGAGUAUUACAGAAGCCUCGAGCUCCUGUAUGCUGUAGGGAAACUGUCAAGUCCACCGGCCUGGGGAUAUGGUCGCAAGGCUAGAAACUUAAAGGAUUAGGCGGGGGAGCACCACGAAGGGGUGGAAUGGCUGCGGUUC